Engraulis encrasicolus (European anchovy) is the source of this 885-nucleotide long non-coding RNA. RefSeq lists it as uncharacterized. Lineage: Eukaryota; Metazoa; Chordata; Actinopteri; Clupeiformes; Engraulidae. The record is from RefSeq and is a predicted model, not a curated record. The transcript has 4 exons.
GAGGCGGGACAUCAAGGAGCUGGACAGAAGAGGUGCAGAGCUGGGGAGGCUGGAGCAGGAGGAGGACCCCAUACACUUCCUCCAGACCUUGCAGUCUCUCCUGGGUUCCCAAGAGUCCAAAGUUUAUCACAGUGUCACUCUGUCUUCGGACCUCUCGUUUGAUGAAGUUACAGAAACCCUUAGUACCUUGCAACCAAGGGUGGAGAAGAUUUGCCGUAAAAGUCGGAAGAGGAUUUCUGAUAAAGUGCAACAUGUUAUGAUUACCCUGCCAAUGGGCCCAGUAACAAGACAAGACUUCUUAAAGUAUUCUUGUAGCCUGACUUUUGAAUCAUGGAAUCUUAACAAACACCUCUCUCUACGGGGGAGAAAGGUUGUGUGCAAGCGGGCAUCCCAUGACCGUAUUUACAGAGUGCUUUUCGACGAAGCCCUAACUGAUUGCUGCUAUUGGGAGGCUGAGUGGAAGAGCAGGGAUAACAACAAUUUAGCUGUGGUUGUGUUAUGGGAAAAGGAAGAGAGUGAUAACGAUGACAGUGAGGAUGAGGAGGAUGAUGGUGACCAAAUCAUUGCUAUUGUUCCUGCUGACGAUGAGGAUGAUGAAGAUGACAACAGUAACAGUGAAGAUGAUGACAGUGACGAAGAUGAUGAUGAUAAUGACACGCAUGAUUCCUCCUCAAGCGCGUUAAGCUAUUGUAGUGAGGAUGAUGAUGAUGAUGAUGAUGAAUCUGAUGGUGACUCUGAUGAUGAUGACGAUGAUGAGGAGGAUAAGCAAUGUUUGAUGUUUCAUUUCGGCCCCGAUGGCUGCAGUUUCUCAGACAGGCAGAGUGGUGAAAAUAUUGAUCUCUCAACUAUAACCAGCUCCAGGAUAGGGGUGUAUCUUGACCACAA